GACAGAGGGUGCAAACGUUGUUCGGAAUUACUGGGCGUAAAGCGCGUGUAGGCGGCCAUCUAAGUCGGGCGUGAAAUCCCACGGCUCAACCGUGGAAGUGCACUCGAAACUGGAUGGCUAGAGUCCUGGAGAGGACGGUGGAAUGCUUGGUGUAGAGGUGAAAUGCGUAGAUAUCAGGAGGAACACCGGUGGUGUAAACGGCUUUCUGGACCAUAACUGACGCUGAGGCACGAAAGCGUGGGUAGCAAACAGG
RNAcentral lists this ribosomal RNA (253 nucleotides) under uncultured bacterium. RNAcentral describes it as "partial 16S ribosomal RNA". It matches the Rfam family "Bacterial small subunit ribosomal RNA", at positions 524 to 776 of the family's 1533-position model. The record is from RNAcentral.